Molecule: ribosomal RNA, 533 nt
Filed under: Helenozyma melibiosica
Lineage: Eukaryota; Fungi; Ascomycota; Pichiomycetes; Serinales; Metschnikowiaceae
Description: [Candida] melibiosica partial large subunit ribosomal RNA
Rfam family: Eukaryotic large subunit ribosomal RNA
Source: RNAcentral
ACGGGGCAUUGCCCAGUAACGGCGAGUGAAGCGGCAAAAGCUCAAUUUUGAAAUCCCCCCGGGGAGUUGUAAUUUGAAGACUAGGGGAUUUGGCCCAAACCUGCGCAAGUCCAUUGGAACAUGGCGCCCAAGAGGGUGAGAGCCCCGUCGCGCAGGCCGCAGCCUUGACAUCCCCCCGUCAAAGAGUCGAGUUGUUUGGGAAUGCAGCUCAAAGUGGGUGGUAAAUUCCAUCUAAAGCUAAAUAUUGGCGAGAGACCGAUAGCGAACAAGUACAGUGAUGGAAAGAUGAAAAGCACUUUGAAAAGAGAGUGAAACAGUACGUGAAAUUGUUGAAAGGGAAGGGCUUGCAAGCAGACACGAGUUCGCUCGGGCCAGCAUCAAUUUCGCGAGGUGGACAACACGCCAGGAAUGUGGCAGGCUCCGGCCUGUGUUAUAGCCUGCGCGCCAUACACCUCCGCGAGAUUGAGGCCUGCUCCAAAAGGAUGCUGGCGUAAUGGUUGCAAGUCGCCCGUCUUGAAAMACGGAMMCAAAAA